UAAUAUGACAAUGGAGACACUAUACCUACACACAGUUCUGCCCAAACAGCUGACAAAAGAUGAUUUCCAUCAUAGAUGCCCUUUAAGUUGUUAAAAUUAUCUGCGAUUUAAUGUUUUCAUAUAGUGUUUGAGCUGAUAAUCAAAGUUUAAAUGUGUAUAAUCAAAAGGAGGAAUCCAUUUUUAUUCUCUUGCCAAGAGAUUUUUCACCAUCUACAUACACAACAAGAUCAUUUGCACAGCCUGCAUGUGGUUCCGUUUGAAAAGCACUGCAGAUAUUAUAGAGAUUCAUGGGAGUAAAGGUAACUCAUAAAUUUCUUGAUGUUUAAACUUUGAACAUUAGUCUUAACACCACUCCUACCUUCAAUGUGAUUUAUUACUUUAUUUUUUGACUUCCUGCUCAGUGUUGAGGAGAAUUCAAUGGCUUUGUGUUUCUAUUUCUAUGGUCUAAGCUAUUUUUGAGCUUCUGUAUUUAGUAAAAUGGCAGAAUCCACACUUUCCUUGGCUCAGGAUCAGUUCAACUGUUCCCUCUGUUUGGAGCUGCUAAAGGAUUCAGUGGCCAUUCCCUGUGGACACAGUUACUGUAUGAGCUGUAUUUCAGACUGCUGGGAUCAGGAUGAGCAGAAGGGAGUCUACAGCUGCCCUCAGUGCAGACAGACCUUCACUCCAAGACCUGCUUUAGGGAAAAACACCAUGCUGACUGAAGUUGUGGAGAAACUCAAGAAGACCAAACUACAAGCUGCUCGUCCUGCUCAGUGUUACUCUGAAUCUGCAGAUGUGGAGUGUGGUGUUUGUACUGGAGAUAAAAAUAAAGCCAUCAAGUCGUGUCUGGUGUGUCUGAACUCUUACUGCCAAAAUCAUCUUGAACAACACGAGAGUUUCUUCAGAGGUAAAAGACACAAUCUGAUGGACGCCACUGGACGACUGCAGGAGAUGAUCUGCCCUCAACAUGAGAAACUACUGGAGUUCUUUUGCCGUACUGACCAGCGCUGUGUUUGUUAUCUGUGUACAAUGGAUAAACACAAAAACCACAACACUGUAUCAGCUACAGCAGAGAGGACUGACAAACAGAGUCAGUUGGCUGAGAUGCAAAAAACAACCCAUCAGCGAAUCGAGGAGAAACAAAAGGAGUGUGUGGAGCUGAGAGAGGCUGUUGAGUCUUACAAGUGCUCUGCACAGGCAGCAGUGGAGGACACUGAGAGGAUCUUUACUGAGCUCAUCCGCUUCAUUGAGAGAAACCGCUCUGGGUUGACACAGCUGAUCAGAGAUCAGGAAAAGGCUGCAGUGAGUGGAGCUGAAGGACGACUGGAGCGACUCGAACAGGAGAUUGAUGAUCUGAGGAGGAGAGACGCUGAGCUGGAGCAGCUUUCACACACAGACCAUCACAUUCAUUUCCUCCAGAGUUUCCAGUCUCUCUCUGCUCCUCCUGGAUCCACAGACUCAUCCAGCAUCGCUGUCAGCUCUCGUCUCUCUUUUGAAGAUGUUGGUAAAUCUUUGUCUCUUCUGAGAGAGAAACUGGAGCAUUUCUGCAGAGACGAGUUAGAAAUUAUAUCUGACAGAGUUACAAACAUAAACAUAAUUCCCACCUCUGAGCCAGAGACAAUUGAGCAGUUCCAACAAUAUUCCCGUCAGUUCACUUUGGAUCCAAACACAGUGAAUAAUUACCUGGUGCUAUCUGAAGAUAACAGAGUAAUUGAUGUCAUUCGAACAUACCAGCAGUAUCCUGAUCAUCCGGACAGAUUUAAUGCUUUUCUUCAGGUGUUGUGUAGAGAGAGUUUGUGUGGACGUUGUUACUGGGAGGUGGAGUGGAGUGGUUGGGUUGGUAUAUCAGUGUCGUAUAAGAGCAUCAGCAGGAAAGGACGGAGAACAGAUUGUGAGUUUGGAUGUAAUGAUCAGUCAUGGAGUUUGUACUGCUCUGACUCCAGAUGCUCGUUCUGGCACAAUAACCAACCGACCAAACUGCCAGUAGUGUCCAGCUCGUCAAGAAUAGGAGUGUAUGUGGAUCACAGUGCAGGAAUUCUGUCCUUCUACAGCAUCUCUGACACAAUGAGCCUCAUUCACAGAGUCCACACCACAUUCACUCAGCCGCUCUGCCCUGGGUUUUGGACCUUGGAUAGGGCCUGAUUCAAAAAUGAAACUUCACAAUUUAAAGAUAAAAGAAAUAUAAUGUUUAUUUCUUUAACUCUGGAUUAUCUCCACUGUAAAAAGAAAUGAAUACACAAUUAACAGUGUUCCAGUAGCUCAAAUGAGAGAGAAUGACCCGAACAACAUACAAGUUAUGAGUUUAAUUCUAAGGGAAUGUAUUGACAGAUAAAAUACAUACCUUAAGUGCAAUAAUGGUUGCUUUGGUAAAAGUGUCCUCCAAACAUAAAUGUAGGCUCCAGAUAAUCAAUAUUUCCUAAGGAAAAGAAGAAUGAAUGCUUGAACAACAAAUUGAUAUAGUAAUUAAAUUGUUUCUAUUAUAUUCUAUACAUGAUCUGUUAUCUCUUGUUGAUCUAUUAGUCUCCACUAUACAUGACAGCAAAUACAUAAUACAAAAAUAGCAAACACAUUACAUAAUAUACACAAAAAUACACAAUAUGCACACAGUGCCUUAGUAUCAGUGUAGCUGAGAUGUGGAUAAAGUGCAGUGCAGUGUAGGUGGUACGGCUACUGGUGGUGUUAAUGGUUGGAGCUCAGCUGACUGCCUGUGAGAGAAGCUGUUAUUUCAUGUUAAAGGCACAUGUAAAGAACCUUUGCCAUACAAUUUAAAUUACUGAACCUAGACAUAAGAGCCUGAAAAAAUACUCAUUAUAGAGAAAAUUUUCAAAUGUAAUGUAAUGUGUAUUUUAUAUCAAAUAUCACUUGAUCUAAUUAUACCUAUAUCUAAUUAUACUAAUUAUAAUUUAUUUUGGUCAACUCCAAACCUCCGAUGUUUUAUUUUAUAGCUGAAAGUGGCAAGCAUUAAUUCAUCAGAUACUUAACAGCUCACUUUUGCUCCAGACAGCAGAUUUUUUGUUAAUAAAAGCAAUUCACACAUAUUUUAGAUCUUGGUAUUUUUAUUAAUCAGGAGUGAAUAACUGCAUCCAUAUUUUAUACAUGAAUUAACCUUAAUAUUGUUUUUUUUUAAUCUGCUAAUAUUUGUGGAUUAAUGUGGUCAUCGUUCCUUAUCUGUUGAGGCAUUUUAAACUAAACCUAACUUUAUUAAAAACCAUGUAGCUUUUUUCUCUUUUUUUAAUUUUCAGAUAGAUUAAGAGUAAAAUGUAAUAUAAUGUAAUGUGUUAACAUUAGUUUGUUGAAUGUAUGUUGAAUGGCAAUAUCCAGCUUAAAACACAUUUUAAUUCUACACGUAUUUGUACAAUGUUUUAAAUAUUGCUGUGUAGCUCACAUGUGAAGUUGUGCAUCAAACUAUGAUCAUAUUUCUAAUAAACUGGAUAACAUGA
This is a non-coding RNA of Danio rerio (zebrafish), 3419 nucleotides long. NCBI's taxonomy places the organism in Eukaryota, Metazoa, Chordata, Actinopteri, Cypriniformes, Danionidae. The record is from RefSeq and is a predicted model, not a curated record.